CGACUGCGGCGACGGCAGCGACGAGAGCGCCGCGCACGCCUGCAAGCCGCCGCCCUUCCGUUGUCCCUCCGGACAGUGGCAGUGCCCCGGCGUGGCGCGCCGCUGCGUCAACCUCACGCAGGUCUGCGACAACAGCUUCGACUGCCCCAACGGCGCCGAUGAAGGUGCGAGUUGCGAUUUCGCGGAAUGCGAGCACCAAAGCGGGCUGUGCUCCAACGGCUGCAAACAGACGCCCAACGGGCCGCUGUGCCUGUGCCCUGCGGG
This is a long non-coding RNA of Papilio polytes (common Mormon), 264 nucleotides long. RefSeq lists it as uncharacterized. The record is from RefSeq and is a predicted model, not a curated record. The transcript is spliced from 3 exons. NCBI's taxonomy places the organism in Eukaryota, Metazoa, Arthropoda, Insecta, Lepidoptera, Papilionidae.